RNAcentral lists this ribosomal RNA (360 nucleotides) under uncultured bacterium. RNAcentral describes it as "partial 16S ribosomal RNA". It matches the Rfam family "Bacterial small subunit ribosomal RNA", at positions 338 to 698 of the family's 1533-position model. The record is from RNAcentral.
CCUACGGGAGGCAGCAGUGGGGAAUAUUGCACAAUGGGGGAAACCCUGAUGCAGCGACGCCGCGGGAGUGAAGAAGAAGGUCGGUAGGUAAAGCUCUAGCAGCAGGGAAGAAACACACCCUCCGGGGGGGCUGACGGUACAGGACUAAGAAGCCCCGGCGAACGACGUGCCAGCAGCCGCGGUAAUACGUAGGGGGCAAGCGUGAUCCGGAUUGACGGGGUGUAAAGGGAGCGUAGUUGGCAAGGACAGGCAGAUGUGAAAACCCGGGGCCCCACCCCGGGAGUGCAUUUGAAACGGUCUGGCUAGCGUGCAGGCGCGGUAAGUGGUCUUCCUUGUGUAGCGGUUCAAUGCAUAGAUCUU